RNAcentral lists this ribosomal RNA (390 nucleotides) under uncultured Hahellaceae bacterium. RNAcentral's name for it is "bacterial SSU rRNA". It matches the Rfam family "Bacterial small subunit ribosomal RNA", at positions 30 to 407 of the family's 1533-position model. The record is from RNAcentral. Lineage: Bacteria; Pseudomonadati; Pseudomonadota; Gammaproteobacteria; Oceanospirillales; Hahellaceae.
AUUGAACGCUGGCGGCAGGCCUAACACAUGCAAGUCGAGCGGUAACAGGGAUAGCUUGCUAUCUGCUGACGAGCGGCGGACGGGUGCGUAACACGUAGGAAUCUACCCAGUAGCGGGGGAUAGCCCGGAGAAAUCCGGAUUAAUACCGCAUACGCCCUACGGGGAAAGCAGGGAUUCUUUCUUUGGUAGAGAACCUUGCACUAUUGGAUGAGCCUGCGUCGGAUUAGCUGGUUGGUGGGGUAAAGGCCUACCAAGGCAACGAUCCGUAGCUGGUCUGAGAGGAUGAUCAGCCACACUGGGACUGAGACACGGCCCAGACUCCUACGGGAGGCAGCAGUGGGGAAUAUUGCACAAUGGGCGCAAGCCUGAUGCAGCCAUGCCGCGUGUGUG